RNAcentral lists this ribosomal RNA (458 nucleotides) under uncultured bacterium. RNAcentral describes it as "bacterial SSU rRNA". It matches the Rfam family "Bacterial small subunit ribosomal RNA", at positions 335 to 799 of the family's 1533-position model. The record is from RNAcentral.
ACUCCUACGGGAGGCAGCAGUGGGGAAUAUUGCACAAUGGGCGCAAGCCUGAUGCAGCGACGCCGCGUGGGGAUGAAGGCCUUCGGGUUGUAAACUCCUUUCGCUAUCGACGAAGCCAUUUUGUGGUGACGGUAGGUAGAUAAGAAGCACCGGCUAACUACGUGCCAGCAGCCGCGGUAAUACGUAGGGUGCAAGCGUUGUCCGGAAUUACUGGGCGUAAAGAGCUCGUAGGUGGUUUGUCGCGUCGUCUGUGAAAUCCCGGGGCUUAACUUCGGGCGUGCAGGCGAUACGGGCAUAAACUUGAGUGCUGUAGGGGAGACUGGAAUUCCUGGUGUAGCGGUGAAAUGCGCAGAUAUCAGGAGGAACACCGAUGGCGAAGGCAGGUCUCUGGGCAGUAACUGACGCUGAGGAGCGAAAGCAUGGGUAGCGAACAGGAUUAGAUACCCUGGUAGGCUCUG